GGCCGAGUGCCCAAGUGGACUAAGGGACCGGAUUGCAAAUCCGGCAUUCGUGGGUUCGAAUCCCACCUCGGCCU
Molecule: transfer RNA, 74 nt
Filed under: Phycisphaerae bacterium
Lineage: Bacteria; Pseudomonadati; Planctomycetota; Phycisphaerae
Also listed under: 3 other names
Description: tRNA-Cys
Rfam family: tRNA
About the family: Transfer RNA (tRNA) molecules are approximately 80 nucleotides in length. Their secondary structure includes four short double-helical elements and three loops (D, anti-codon, and T loops).
Source: RNAcentral